CCCACACGCCACACACCAGGCCCCACGCGGGCGACCAGCGGGCAACCAGCCAGCGACCCCCACCCCCCGAGGCGCGGUACCAGGCGCGCAGUGCCCGGCGCCGAGCUGCGCCCAAGAUCCGUGCGCCCUGGGUGUCCGCGGGAACGGCCGGACGAAGCCCGUCGGUGGCGGCGGGAGAGCUCGGCUCACGCCGGCUUCCCGGCAAGUCGCCGUUCCAGGCACAAUUUUUCCACUUCUGCUGCCGGCAGCCGCGGCGGUGAGAGCAGAAACAGCCGAUCCCUCCCAUUCCCAGCCCCCGACACCCGUCCCAGUCCCGGGGACGGUCCUCUUCCCUCCCCGCGGGUUCCGGGAGCGCGGGAGCGCGGUUCCCGCGCCAGCCGCCGCGCACACAGCCCCGGCUCCGCCGGCCGCGACGGUUCCGCCAGCGCCCGGGCUGGGUACCCCUCGCCGGCGCCGCCCGACCCCACCUGGCCGGGGCUGCGGGCUCUCCCUCCUGCAGCACGCGCGGGGCCCGGCGACUCCAACUCACCCGGCCCGGCUCUGUGUCUCCGGCCCCGAGCUCGCAGCCUUCCCCCGCCGGGGCUUUCCGUUACGCCUCCUCGCAGCCAGCCGCUCCGGGAGGGAGGAGGCGGCGGGAGGAGCGGGCGAGGGAGGGGAGGGGAGAGGAGAGGGUCCCCGGGUGGGGGAGGAGGCGAGGCGAGAGUGCCGAACUCCGCCGCCGCCGGCGGGGCUAGCGAGGAGGAAGGAGAGAAAGGGGCGGGGGCGGAGAAAGAAAGAGGCCGCCGAGCCUCCCUGCCCAGGACCCGGCCCCGCGCCGCAGCCCAGUCACCCUCGCCGCCCGGGUCCCGCUCUCCGGCCGGGCGUCCGGGGGGAGGGGUCGGGGCCCGGGGCUCUCCCGGCGCGGCGCGCGGGCGGGGCGGCCGGGGGCUAGGCGGGGGCGGUGGCGGGCCGACGAGGCCCGGCCUCCGGAGGGGAGUGUCCUGCGGGGCCCGGGAGGCUGUUGGCGAAAGGGGAUCCCCGGGAGGAGGGGCAGAGGCCCCGGGGCCUGGGAGCGGGUCACUGCGCCCGCCGGGUGGCGGCGGCGGCGGCGCCUCCUGGAAUCCUGCGGGGGACCCCGGGGCCGCGGCGGGGAGCCUUCGGGGGGCAGUUUCGGGAAACCGUCUCAGGAGCGCCGGCAAUGAGCACGGCGCAGGCGGGGAGCUGCAAAGUCGGAGUCGAGGGUGA
RNAcentral lists this long non-coding RNA (1224 nucleotides) under Felis catus (domestic cat). RNAcentral's name for it is "lncRNA (ENSFCAG00000049202.1)". Lineage: Eukaryota; Metazoa; Chordata; Mammalia; Carnivora; Felidae. The record is from RNAcentral.